This is a long non-coding RNA of Gadus macrocephalus (Pacific cod), 1120 nucleotides long. RefSeq lists it as uncharacterized. The record is from RefSeq and is a predicted model, not a curated record. The transcript has 3 exons. NCBI's taxonomy places the organism in Eukaryota, Metazoa, Chordata, Actinopteri, Gadiformes, Gadidae.
CUGUCGUAAAACCCGGAAGUGUUCUUGAUGCGUGCUCGAUCUCGCCGUUUCACCAAGCAUGCAUCGGAGGUGGCUUGUGUGUACUUGCAACCGCUAUAAAUCCCAGGAUGCAUUUCGCAUUCGCAGCAGUACGAUGGCGGACAAUAUGGAGAAGACGCACAACUGUAAGCUAUUAUCUAUAAGCUAUUAAUUGUAAGCUAUUAUAUUUUUAUAUUGUUUCACGAAUAUCGGUAUUUAUUAUUUUUAACGUUUUUAUUAGGCUAUCAUUGAAUUCUCCAACCUGUCAAAUCCUACUUGUUUUUCUCUGACGUUUUCACUUUUUCGGAGCGGGACAGCUAGCUCCCCCGGCCAGCUUCAGCAAUCAGUCCUCAGUUCAUAGAUGAUUACCUAUUAUAAAAACCUCAGGCAGAUAGCCGUAACUCGACAGGACUUGAUAUGAUGGCCUUUAUUAUGCAUUCAAUUAAUAUAGGCUUACACGUUCUAUUUUAUCAAGGGACAAUUGAAGAAACAAGGGCCCUCAUCGAGUGGCGGGCGGCAAAUGAAGCUCGGUUCACUGGCCUCCGCAACUCCUCUGCUACGGGAUGGGAGGACUUCAUUUCCACUUCUGGCAUGGAUAUUUCCACCAAACAGGCCAUGAAGAAGUGGAACAAUCUGAAGCUCAAGUACAAAUCGCUUAGGGACCCACCCACAGGCAGAGGGGUAGAGGCCGGUACAGCUACUGCCGCCACCUGGCAGUGGUAUGGUGCCAUGGAUGCUGCACUCCAGGGACAUCACUCCAUCUGUCCGACCCUGGUUGUUGCAUCCAACAUGACUGCCACUACAGGUGGGGUAGUAAGCACACCGGCUUCUACCUCUUCUGCUGAGGAGGCCGGGGGAAGCAGCAGCAGAAAGAGACCCAGGGACAGUCUGCUGGAGCUUUUGAGGGAGCAGGGAGAAAGGGACGAGGAGAGAGAGAGAGAGAGGCAGUGGCGAGAGAGGCGGAGAGGGAGAGGGCGGCAGCAGUCAGGGCUGAACGGUACCUGUCCCUGUUUGAAAAAUGUAUCUCCAAGAUGUAAAUAAAUAUUAUUCUAAAUUCAUCUGCUCAUUCUUGAAAGCAAAAGUGUGUUUUUAUGUUACAUUU